AAAAUUAGAGUGUUCAAAGCAGGCAGAUCCAAUUUUCUGCCACCGAAUACAUUAGCAUGGGAUAAUGGAAUAGGACCCUGUCCUCCUAUUUUCAGUUGGUUUGCCGCGAGGACCAGGGUAAUGAUUAAUAG
RNAcentral lists this ribosomal RNA (131 nucleotides) under Acanthamoeba genotype T3. Its description in RNAcentral is "partial 18S ribosomal RNA". The record is from RNAcentral. Lineage: Eukaryota; Discosea; Longamoebia; Acanthamoebidae.